RNAcentral lists this ribosomal RNA (250 nucleotides) under uncultured bacterium. RNAcentral's name for it is "partial 16S ribosomal RNA". It matches the Rfam family "Bacterial small subunit ribosomal RNA", at positions 524 to 773 of the family's 1533-position model. RNAcentral also lists the same sequence under 1 other name. The record is from RNAcentral.
UACGUAGGGCGCAAGCGUUAUCCGGAAUUAUUGGGCGUAAAGAGCUUGUAGGCGGUUCGUCGCGUCUGGUGUGAAAGCCCAUCGCUUAACGGUGGGUCUGCGCCGGGUACGGGCGGGCUAGAGUGCAGUAGGGGAGACUGGAAUUCCCGGUGUAACGGUGGAAUGUGUAGAUAUCGGGAAGAACACCAAUGGCGAAGGCAGGUCUCUGGGCUGUUACUGACGCUGAGAAGCGAAAGCGUGGGGAGCGAAC